Molecule: long non-coding RNA, 1512 nt
Filed under: Rattus norvegicus (Norway rat)
Lineage: Eukaryota; Metazoa; Chordata; Mammalia; Rodentia; Muridae
Description: long non-coding RNA NONRATT021510
Source: RNAcentral
CUGUUCUAGCUGGACAGUGCUACAUCACUCAUCCAGGCAGCCAAAAACCUGAUGAAUGCGGUUGUCCUCACGGUGAAAGCAUCUUAUGUAGCCUCAACCAAAUACCAGAAGGUCUAUGGAACAGCAGCUGUCAACUCUCCAGUUGUAUCUUGGAAGAUGAAGGCUCCUGAAAAGAAGCCCCUUGUGAAGAGAGAGAAGCCUGAAGAAUUCCAGACACGAGUUCGACGGGGGUCUCAAAAGAAACACAUUUCACCUGUGCAGGCUUUAAGUGAAUUCAAGGCAAUGGAUUCCUUUUAGGACAAUAGGCUUCAAACAAGAAAGCUUUUUCUUUCUCCCUCCCUCCCCCCUCUCUGUCCCCUUUCUUUUUCAUUUUGAUUCCAUUUUUGUAAGCAUACCUGCUGACUUGUAUGCCUCUGGCAUGGGGAAAUUAAGAGAACAGUGUCUGUUUGCAUGUUAGAUGAGAUGAGAUCAAUGCUACUGCUCCAUCAGUAGCCUGGGAAGGAAGGGGGACAGGUGAUGAUUUCUGUCCUGAGGUGGCACAGAGCUGUCCUUUGCAACAUUCUCUUUAAAGUUGGGCAAAGAGUUCACACUGUGAUGUUCACGGGAGUGGGAGGGAUGGGGAAAAUAAACUUAAACUCUACAAAAGCAAACUCUAAUGCAUGCAAGAAUCAUUAGGUUGGCAGGUAUAUUCAUAAGUGAAAAACCUGGAAGUGUUAUGGUAGAGCAUAAAACCUGUACUGCUUCUGUUUCGGUGCAAAAAUGUACUAGCCAAUACGCUGAAGUGUGUGGCCCACAAAUUGAACAAUUUAACCUCAACGUCACAUAUCCAUGCUAUCAUGCGGAUUCUUAACUGAGGAGAAACUAACUCAUCCCGUCUCAAAUGUUUCUUUAAUCUGCAUUCUGUUCUUUCUUCCUGGUAGUGCCAUUACUAGUGUUCCUCUUAUUUUAUCCUCUCUGCUGAAGACAGGAAACAUUCCUUGGAGACACUUGGAUCCUUCUGCGGACCCCGAUGAUACAAAGUGGAGCUCAACUGUCCUUCCUUUUAUUCCUUUCUUUUUUUCUUUCUAAAUUUGAACUCUGACUUUGCUAGACAUAGAAGGCUCAAUGGUGGAAUGUUAGAGCAAUGGGGAUUGACAGUAUGUGAAGGUUUAGAGGCAAACGCAUAGGUGUGUAGCUGGGAGUGCUGGUAUCUAAUAUACCAUUGUAUUCACUGACACAAAAAUAAACACAUUUAAUCUUGACACCUGGGUUGUGUUUUCUUUCUCUGUAUGCAUAGAUAAUAUAAGAAAUAUCCUUAAACGUUGAUAUCAAAAUACUUCUUGUUUGAUUUUUCAAAUCAGCACAAAAACAUAUGUAUUCUCACAGUCAUUUGUUAAGAAAAGGUAUUUUGUAGUUUGUUUUUCCAUAUGUUUCACCUUCAAACUGAAUCUGAGAUGAGAAUGCUUGCAUUUACUUUUCCGGGCCAAUCAAGCUUCCCUGGGCUAAAUUUUUAAAACAGGAGAUUUAAGAUUU